RNAcentral lists this transfer RNA (75 nucleotides) under Bacillus anthracis (anthrax bacterium). Its description in RNAcentral is "tRNA-Asn". It matches the Rfam family "tRNA". Rfam says of the family: Transfer RNA (tRNA) molecules are approximately 80 nucleotides in length. Their secondary structure includes four short double-helical elements and three loops (D, anti-codon, and T loops). Further hydrogen bonds mediate the characteristic L-shaped molecular structure. tRNAs have two regions of fundamental functional importance: the anti-codon, which is responsible for specific mRNA codon recognition, and the 3' end, to which the tRNAs corresponding amino acid is attached (by aminoacyl-tRNA synthetases). tRNAs cope with the degeneracy of the genetic code in two manners: having more than one tRNA (with a specific anti-codon) for a particular amino acid; and 'wobble' base-pairing, i.e. permitting non-standard base-pairing at the 3rd anti-codon position. The record is from RNAcentral. Lineage: Bacteria; Bacillati; Bacillota; Bacilli; Caryophanales; Bacillaceae.
UCCGCAUUAGCUCAGUGGUAGAGCUAUCGGCUGUUAACCGUACGGUCGAAGGUUCGAGUCCUACCUGCGGAGCCA